This 373-nucleotide ribosomal RNA is filed under the name Fidelibacterota bacterium. RNAcentral describes it as "partial 23S ribosomal RNA". It matches the Rfam family "Bacterial large subunit ribosomal RNA", at positions 2558 to 2925 of the family's 2925-position model. Lineage: Bacteria; Pseudomonadati; Fidelibacterota. The record is from RNAcentral.
GAAGGUCCCAAGGGUUGGGCUGUUCGCCCAUUAAAGUGGUACGUGAGCUGGGUUUAGAACGUCGUGAGACAGUUCGGUCUCUAUCCGCCGUGGGCACAGGAGAUUUGAGGGAAUCUGCUUCUAGUACGAGAGGACCGAAGUGGACGAACCUCUAGUGUACCAGUUGUCAUAUCAAUGGCACCGCUGGGUAGCUAUGUUCGGAAAGGAUAAGCGCUGAAAGCAUAUAAGCGCGAAACCUGACCCAAGAUAAGAUCUCCCUACCGUAAGGUAAUAAGGCUCGUUGCAGACUACAACGUUGAUAGGCUGCAGGUGUAAGUGUGGUAACACAUUCAGCCGAGCAGUACUAAUAUGCCGAACGACUUUAUCAAAUUUU